Molecule: unclassified non-coding RNA, 188 nt
Filed under: Paraphyton cookei
Lineage: Eukaryota; Fungi; Ascomycota; Eurotiomycetes; Onygenales; Arthrodermataceae
Description: partial internal transcribed spacer 2
Source: RNAcentral
CAACCCCUCAAGCCCGGCUUGUGUGAUGGACGACCGUCCCCUCCCCGUCAGACGGAGGGGGACGCGCCCGAAAAGCAGUGGCCAGGCCGCGCUUCCGGCACCUAGGCGAAUGGGACACACCAACCGUCUAAGGGACCGGCCGGUACUGCUGGCCUUGACUGGACUCUUUUGUCCGUUAAAUUUUUUCA